This is a long non-coding RNA of Rosa rugosa (rugosa rose), 2722 nucleotides long. RefSeq lists it as uncharacterized. The transcript is spliced from 10 exons. The record is from RefSeq and is a predicted model, not a curated record. Lineage: Eukaryota; Viridiplantae; Streptophyta; Magnoliopsida; Rosales; Rosaceae.
UUUUUUAAUCAUUAAUGGUGGCCUUAUUCUUUUCUAUGUCUGGUCUCAUAAAAACUGGUACUUUUUAUUUCUUCUGGUCUCUCAUAAAGAUUCGUGCUUUUCCCUAUGGAAAUGGGUUGCUGGCCUUAGCAUUCAUUAUUUUGUUCAACUGAGGAGGCACAAGAUUAAUUCCCUGAAAAGAUCGAGUGGAGUUUUUUCACCCAAAAGAAGAAAGAAAGGUUUGAGCUUUAGUGUGCAAUGGCUUUGUUCAGAUGGGUUAAUUAAUUUGCGGGUGAAGGGUCAGCUCAGCAAGGCACCUCGGGUUUCAUCUCAGCUCACCAAACCCCUCAUGGGUUGCUUCAGACCAUCCUUGUCAGGUGCUUCAAAGGUUUUAUACCAAAAUCUCUCUAAGUUUUGGCCAGUGUCAUUGAUGGACUGGUAAAAUGGCUGUGAGAAAGACUACAGUUGGGACAUGUUUCACAGGUACUCUGGGGUCAAAUUGCUGAGACAGAUCAAUCCGGGUGAGAUGGAUAAGAAGACUAAGAAGGAGGGUUUUGAAAUUGGAUUUUGAAGGGCUCUGUGCAAAUUGUAGAGAUUUGUUCUGGCGGAGUGAUGUGAAUGAGUCUUGCAUAAAGAAAGAGGGAAAGAAUUUGCGAAUAGGAAAUGGUUUUGAGGAGUUUUUUCUGGAAGAACAUGAAUGUUCUUCACUCCCACAGCUUUCACAGUUCAUAGAAGGAAUUAGGAAAGACAGUCUUUGCUAAUGAGAUGGAGGUGCUUUGUAGGGCUCAAAAAAGACUUUUUUAUAUUUACAGAGGAACGUAUGCUUCUCUAUGUCGCUCUUUUGGCCCUUGGUUUCUCUUCCUAUCUGGUAAAUAUGUUCAGGAGGAAGGAUUUGCUGGAACAAGGCGUCAUGUGGGUGCCCCAUGCUUAUUGAGGAAGAACUUGAAAAUCUCAAUCUACAUCCAAGCUGUGCUCCAGCAUCAGAGGAGGGGCAACCUAAGGACAUAUUCGAUGAAUGAAACACUUCACUUGUGAAACAAAAAGUUCAAAAAUAAGAAGGUUUGCAUAUUUGCAUAUGGCCUAAUGGGUUCUGGAUUUCUAUAAUAACCUAUGCCAUGAAGGGACCUUGUUCAGACCAGACCAAGCUAGUUAUUCUCUUCAAGCCCAGGGCUGGAAAUACAGAAUGCAGAUGGGAAAGUUUGACAUGGGUUUUUAGAAUGGUUAUUCACCAAUUUUGGUUAACCAGAAGAACUCACUGGGAAAAUAUUCGUUCUUUGGUAUGCAAUGGUGGUCUGCGGCUUGAGGGGAUCAGGCCAGAGGUGACUCGAAAUGGGGAUAUGAAGAAAAAAACUAGGAGUGACAUGAAAACGCGAAAUGGUCACAGGAUGAAGGGUCAGCUGUGCAUCGCCUUGGGUUUUGCAAUAUAUGAAUGGCCACAGGGUGAAGGGUCGGCUGUUCAGGGCUCAUCAGGUUUCAUCUCAGCUCCAAGGCGCUGAUGGUUGCUUCAGACCAUCCUUGUCAGUUAAAGAACUACACAGCAUAUCACGUAAUUCCUGGAAGUAAUGAGCAGAUCGUUUGGAUUGGCAGAUAAAUUUCAUGAGGCCAUUUGGAGAUGUGGUCGGAGAUAUGAGGUCAUCUGAUUUUUGCUUAGCAGUAUGUGCUUGUUAUAAAGAAGUUGGGUUUUUGUAAAACAAGAGGGCACUUCCCAAGCAUAAUGUCACUGCCACGUGAUAGUGCAGGUUAUAUAAGGGAAACUACAAGCAAAACUCCGACUGUCCGGGGAGUAAUAUAAGGUGUGAUGUUUCAACUUUGAAUAUCAGUGUUCAUGUUUCUUCCAAAUCUGAUUAAGUACACGAUAUUGUAUUUCAGUGAAGGAGGAAGUCGGCGUUUGAUGUGCUUCCGCAACCUCAUUAGCAUAAGAAAUUCUAAUUCGUGAUUAUCUCGAGCAUUUUCCAUUUGUAUUUAGUUUUCCUUUGCUCGCUAUAAAGGAAUUGGGAGUGAUGCUCUGGUGGCCAAUUGAAUUGUACUCAGACGUGCACAACUGUCGUUGGAUUUAGAUCCAAAGAUGGAGAAUAUGAGGUAAAUAAAUUUGCUUCAACUGCCUCAUUAUUUUUCACUGUUGGAUCUAAAUCAAAGGGCAAUUGUGUUAAACUACAUGAUGCAAUAACAGAACACAUCAAUCACGAGAUCAAAUCAUACAACACACAUCAAGAACGAAUAAACCAGCUGCACAACAUCCAUGCAAUCUGCAGAAUAGCUUUCCUAGUGGCACUAGGACUCCACCUGGAUCAAUGACGCUCUGGAUCCCUGCAGAAACAGUUUGGCCUAGGUUCGACAUCUUGAGCAACUUGGAACAAGGAUUGAAUAGCAGCAGAACUUGAGCAGAAAGCCUUCUGUAUGUCAACACCAAAAGCUUCAGUUCUGUAUGUCAACACCAAAAGCUUCAUAAUGGGGCUGAACAAUAUGCAAACUGGUGAUGAAUACAGGGACUUUGCUCCCUAUUUAUAUUGGCCAAUAAACCCGAGCUGGACUCAUCCCAUAAGGAGUCCAAUACUUGCUUCAUGUUUAUCUUGAUAGGAGACUUGUUGUUUAUCACAAAUACUCAAUGUAAUUCAGGUUAAUUACUAAUGAGCUUCCUACUUCUAUUAAGAGACAUACUUCUCAAUAGAUGACCAGAAUUAGAGUUAUGAUUAUAUACUUCUUGUUAUUUAUGUAAAGAUAAAUUAAUUGGUUUUAUUCUUAA